GACGAACGCUGGCGGCGUGCUUAACACAUGCAAGUCGAGCGGUAAGGCCCUUUCGGGGGUACACGAGCGGCGAACGGGUGAGUAACACGUGGGUGACCUGCCCUCAGCUCUGGGAUAAGCCUGGGAAACCGGGUCUAAUACCGGAUAUGACUCCAUGACGCAUGUUGUGGGGUGGAAAGCCUUGUGCGGCUGAGGAUGGGCCCGCGGCCUAUCAGCUUGUUGGUGGGGUGAUGGCCUACCAAGGCGACGACGGGUAGCCGGCCUGAGAGGGCGACCGGCCACACUGGGACUGAGACACGGCCCAGACUCCUACGGGAGGCAGCAGUGGGGAAUCUUGCGCAAUGGGCGAAAGCCUGACGCAGCGACGCCGCGUGAGGGAUGACGGCCUGGUGUAACUACUUCU
RNAcentral lists this ribosomal RNA (403 nucleotides) under uncultured bacterium. RNAcentral's name for it is "bacterial SSU rRNA". It matches the Rfam family "Bacterial small subunit ribosomal RNA", at positions 28 to 434 of the family's 1533-position model. The record is from RNAcentral.